This is a long non-coding RNA of Cucurbita maxima (winter squash), 488 nucleotides long. RefSeq lists it as uncharacterized. Lineage: Eukaryota; Viridiplantae; Streptophyta; Magnoliopsida; Cucurbitales; Cucurbitaceae. The record is from RefSeq and is a predicted model, not a curated record. The transcript has 2 exons.
CUCUCUCGAAUAUAUCAACCUCAUGAGUGUAUUAUAUGUGUAUAUAUAUAUAUAGUUGCAAUGGGUUGGGAUGACAGAAGUGGAAGAUAAAUUAAUGAGUAGGGCCAAAGGGUUGCAGCAAAGAGAAGCCAAGUCUAUGGCAAACACUAAAGGAGAUAUAAGAAUGAUGGAUACAUCUGACAUGUUCAUCGAUUUCUUGCCCAUAAGUCUAGGGAGAUGAGCUUGUGAAAAGUUGAGUGUGGACAUGGCAGGGCAGGUAGCAGCAGAAGCAAAGUCGUCUAUGAAAGAGAAGAAGAAAUUGGAUCUUGGUUUUGCCCUUUUUUUUGUAUUAAUUUAUGUAUUUAUGUUGAAAUGAUUUGCGUUGUUUUGCUUCUCACAUCACAUGUCACUCUUAGUAAUGUUGUCCCCACUCAAUAUCUCAUCCCACAUGUCACGCUCACAUAUUACUUGAUUCGAAUUAUUUAACUCAAAACAGUAAAUUUUACUUA